CUGAUUUCAUACAUUGGAAAGUUUGAUGAAUAGAGCCUUGUGAGAGGCAACUCUUGAGCGCUGCACUAUUACCGAAAGCUUUGCUGGGGAUUAGAGAGAAGACAGAAGCUUUCAUUCCUUCAAAAUCCAAGUCUUCAAGAACCAGUAUUGCUUGUGGCUCUGACUGUGGGAGGUUGCAUAGAGGCAAAGACACCUGUGUUAAGAGAAUCCAGAAGUUCAAAGAUGGAUUGAUGGAGAGAGUGAGAGGGGCAGCAGUGAGAGAUGAGUCAGAGAUUUAGUCCAGAGUGGAGGCAUGCAGUGCCUGGUAGGAGCAGAGCAUGACUUUGUUGUUGAUUCAGUCUAGUGCAAGACGCCAACAGUCUUAGUAAAUUGUUGUUUGGGAACAAAAAAGGAAGAAAAAAAACUUGACAUUUCUUAUAAAGACCAAAUUUUAACAUAAAUUGAAGGCUGUCUUGUAUUUCCAUGUAUUCCCCCUGUUAGGUAGCCUGAAGUUUUGAGAAGAAGCUUUGCAACUACAAGCUUUAGUAUUCAGAAAAACACACUGAGGUGAUAAAAGUUAGUGCUAAACUAUCCCACAUUACAAUUAGUCUGCUUUAG
Long non-coding RNA from Oreochromis aureus, 597 nucleotides. The record is from Ensembl. Lineage: Eukaryota; Metazoa; Chordata; Actinopteri; Cichliformes; Cichlidae.